AGGCCCUCAAGGCUCCUGGAAGACCACCAGGUCGAUAGGCCGGAAGUGUAAGUCCGGUAACGGAUUGAGCUAACCGGUACUAAUCAGCCGUGAGGCUUGGCCAAAU
This 106-nucleotide ribosomal RNA is filed under the name bacterium. RNAcentral describes it as "partial 23S ribosomal RNA". It matches the Rfam family "Bacterial large subunit ribosomal RNA", at positions 2822 to 2925 of the family's 2925-position model. The record is from RNAcentral.